AGGAACAGAUAGAGCAACAAUUACUGUAUGAUAACGUCUAGCAAAAAUACUUAAAGAAAAACAAAAAAACAAAAACAAAGGCAGAGUCACAUCAGGCAAAUGUUUAUUGUCAAUAUUGUAACGAUGCACUAAGCACUUCUCAUAUGAUUAUAGUGACCAAAAUAAUUGUGGUUAUUAAUAUCACUCUUUGGUUUUCACAAACAAUAGUAGUAUAGUGUGUGUGUAUAUAUAUAAUAACAUGAACAACAAAAUGAUAAAUGAUUAUAGGUAUUUUAUUUGCUCCGUGAAUAAUUCUAGAUACUUUAUUAUCCAAAUCGUUAAUAUUUUUAGAAUGCUCAUUAGCUUAUUUUUGAUCAACUGUAACGUUACAUUAAAAAAAAAAAUCAGUCAGAUUUUCGCAUUGGUCUGAACAAAAAUGGCAGACAGGCUGAAGGCUGCGUCCUCCAGAGGGCGCAUUUGUCCGUUUUGGCCGCAUUCGCCACUAUUUCAGUAACCUGACGACUACAUUCCAAAGUCAUAAAGAAAUUACAAUUUACACUUCACUAGGACUAACGGUCAAUUUUAUAAUGGUUAAGCCGCGGUCACCCUAGACUGAGCAUGCGAAAUUUCUUGGGACACUGCAACGGUCGUGAUAUAACGUCACGCUCUGCAGCGUCUUUUUUUAUAAACAUGAAUUCAACAUAUAAGAAAUUGUAAUGCAUUAAAAAUGUACUUUUCUGAUACAAGACAUCCUUUAUGACGACAAAUGCGACAUCCGAAAGACGCAGUCCUUCGAAACGAGACAGUAGGUGGCACUUGUGGAACAGCAGAAAUAGAGCGGUUUCCCUGGUAACGGCUGUACACAAAGCAGCGCUGGGAUAAUAAACAGUACUUUACAUGGAGGUAAGAUGAAAAUAAAAUGCCAUCGAUUUUUUUUUUUCUGAAGAGGGUCGUUAAAUCUAGCAUAAAUCUUUUAUUCUGGAAAAUCUGAACAUGUUCUUCUAAUUAUUUCUUUGCAUGACUGUUUCCAACUACAUGCCACUGUUUGAGCCGUCACAACGGUAAACGUGGUAAGAAACUAGUAAAAUCUGAAUUUUCUGCAUGAAUCUUUUUUUAUUCUGAAAAAUCAUUGUAUUUCUAAAAGUGUUUCUUUCCCUGUUUGUCUCUUUACAUUUACAUGCCGUGGUAAACGCUGUAAGAAACGCCAUGUAUGAGCAAUAAAAGGCAAGUAAAAUCUGAAUGUUCUGUUAUAUGAAUACAUCAAAAACCUGUAUUAACUUGUGUUAAAGUGCAGCAUUAAUCUUUUAUUCAGGAAAAUCACUGUAUAUUUAAACAUUUUUUUCUAUUUCUAUGACUUCCAACUACAUGCCAUGGUUUGAUCUGCCACAAUGAUGUGGCAAGAAAUCAUCUGACAGCAACAAAAGGUCAAUCCAGUCUGAAUGUUUUAUAUAUGAAAACUGUAUUAACUUGUUGUAAAGUGCAAAAUCACUGAACAUGUUCUUCUGUUUGUUUGUUUUUUCUUUGCAUGACUUUUUCCAACUACAUGACAUUGUUUGAGCCGUCACAAUGGCAAACAUGGUAAGAAAUAUCAUGUGACAACAUCAAAAACCUGUAUCAACAUGUUAAAGUGCAGUAUUUUAUUCUGGAAAAUCAAUGUAUAUCUGAAAGUGUUGUUCUCUGUUUCUUUCUCUGAAUGACUCUUUCCAUCUACAUGCCACGGUUUGAGCCGACAAAAUGUUAAGCAGCAGGAGCUUGAGCUGCAGUUAUUGAGCAACAGUAAAUGUGACCACACUGCAGUGAGAAGCUGGGCGGGGCCGAGAGCCGUGGGAGUGGAGCGAGGCUGGUGGAGCCAAUGUUUAUGAGCGACACCUGCACGACACACCAGUCUAGAGUCCCAUAGAGGAGCUCCGGAAGAAUAAAAGGAGGAGUGAUGACAGGAAGACGUUAUGUUUCACUGCAAAGCUGCUUUGAAACAACCUGUAUUGUAAAAAGCACUAUAUAAAUAAAGGUGACUUGACUUGACCAUG
Ctenopharyngodon idella (grass carp) is the source of this 2006-nucleotide long non-coding RNA. RefSeq lists it as uncharacterized. The record is from RefSeq and is a predicted model, not a curated record. The transcript is spliced from 2 exons. NCBI's taxonomy places the organism in Eukaryota, Metazoa, Chordata, Actinopteri, Cypriniformes, Xenocyprididae.